RNAcentral lists this ribosomal RNA (253 nucleotides) under uncultured bacterium. Its description in RNAcentral is "partial 16S ribosomal RNA". It matches the Rfam family "Bacterial small subunit ribosomal RNA", at positions 524 to 776 of the family's 1533-position model. The record is from RNAcentral.
UACGUAGGGGGCAAGCGUUGUCCGGAAUCAUUGGGCGUAAAGCGCGUGUAGGCGGCUUGGUAAGUCUGCUCUGAAAGCCCGGGGCUCAACCCCGGGAGGCGGGUGGAUACUGUCAAGCUCGAGUCCGGAAGAGGCGAGCGGAAUUCCUGGUGUAGCGGUGAAAUGCGCAGAUAUCGGGAGGAACACCAAUUGCGAAGGCAGCUCGCUGGGACGUUACUGACGCUGAGACGCGAAAGCGUGGGGAGCAAACAGG